This 253-nucleotide ribosomal RNA is filed under the name uncultured bacterium. Its description in RNAcentral is "partial 16S ribosomal RNA". It matches the Rfam family "Bacterial small subunit ribosomal RNA", at positions 524 to 776 of the family's 1533-position model. The record is from RNAcentral.
UACGUAGGGUGCGAGCGUUAAUCGGAAUUACUGGGCGUAAAGCGUGCGCAGGCGGUUUCGUAAGCCAGAUGUGAAAUCCCCGGGCUUAACCUGGGAAUUGCAUUUGGGACUGCGAGGCUAGAGUACGGCAGAGGGAGGUGGAAUUCCACGUGUAGCAGUGAAAUGCGUAGAUAUGUGGAGGAACACCGAUGGCGAAGGCAGCCUCCUGGGCUAGUACUGACGCUCAUGCACGAAAGCGUGGGGAGCAAACAGG